UACGUAGGUGACCAGCGUUGUCCGGAUUUACUGGGCGUAAAGAGCGCGCAGGCGGUCGUUCAAGUCGAGUGUGAAAGCCCCCGGCUCAACUGGGGAGGGUCACUCGAUACUGAUCGACUUGAAGGCAGUAGAGGGAAGCGGAAUUCCCGGUGUAGUGGUGAAAUGCGUAGAUAUCGGGAGGAACACCAGUGGCGAAGGCGAGUCUCUGGGCAUUUCCUGACGCUGAGGCACGAAAGCCAGGGGAGCAAACGGG
RNAcentral lists this ribosomal RNA (253 nucleotides) under uncultured bacterium. RNAcentral describes it as "partial 16S ribosomal RNA". It matches the Rfam family "Bacterial small subunit ribosomal RNA", at positions 524 to 776 of the family's 1533-position model. The record is from RNAcentral.